Long non-coding RNA from Panthera uncia (snow leopard), 1207 nucleotides. RefSeq lists it as uncharacterized. Lineage: Eukaryota; Metazoa; Chordata; Mammalia; Carnivora; Felidae. The record is from RefSeq and is a predicted model, not a curated record. The transcript has 2 exons.
AGAGAGUGGCCAGGAGCUGCCUGUCUAGUGAGACGCGGAAGGGCGUGGUGGGCACAACUAAGAAAUGUGAAAAGAGAGAGAGAAAAAAAGAACUUGGCUGAGGCUGAAGGCCCUGUAACGGAGAAACCGAUUCUACCAGACCCAAAGAGAGGCAGCCUGAGUUAGGGUGUACAAACGCUGAUCUGGGUACCCCUGAAGCAGGGCCUUUAGAGGUUACUUCGGCUCUGGAAACUGGCCCGUAUUUGAGGAACUGAUGGCUCAAAUCUUAGCGCAUAGGUAGUUAAAUACAUAAAGAAGACCUGUCAUGGGAGAGUUGAGUGCGCGGGGCGAGCGAAGUCUUCGGGAGGCGACAGCUGCAGAAGCGGCAUUCGUUGGAAUAUGCAAUUAGGAGGCCCGCUCCAGUCCCACACGCUAUCCUGUUGACAGACAGUACUGCACACCCCCAACUCUUGUCCCUGGGCUGCUGAUCCAUUCUCAAACGUCAGCGGUCCCAUCAGGAUGUUCUCUUUUUUCUGGGAUGUAAUUCAUUUAGGGGAGGACACAUGGACUCAAGUUAAAUACGGGCAAUGUUGCGUACGUUUACUAGAUCACCUCUCCUCACCCGCACGUAAACUUGGGAGGAACAGAGACAGAGCUGUAUCUAUUUUAUCCGUUGUUGUAUCCCUGUCGCCUAGCAGUGCGCAUUUCCCGAAUGAAUGAAUUAAGUAGAGAACAUUUUGCUAGAAUCAUUUUGCCCCCUUAGGAGUUCAGUCCUUAGGCGUUCCACCUUGCCCAGCCUGAAGAAGAUUCUCUGAAGAAAUGGGAAUAAAAUGGAAGUGAAGCAUUGUACCAACUGUUUAUUUAGCGCCUACUAUGCAAUAUGGUGUAGGAUAAAGAGCAAAAACAGUUUUGGGGGCGUUGGGGAGGAGAAUAUUAAGUAAUGAUAUUAAUGAGGACAUAAUUAUCCACUGAGAGAAGUGUAGUAAGGAAGGGAAUACUAUUCUAUGAUAGGGUAUUAUAAAAGAUCCUUGAUGCGGGGAGGAGCAACAUACCGAUGGUUAACUGAUGUGAAGAAUCAGAAAUUGGCAAAAAGGUGGGAUGGUGGAGUGGAACAGCGAUCAAGAGACAAAGGCACUGAAGAGGAACCAUCGAUUGUAACAGGAUCCGGUGCAUCAGAGACUAAACCGAACCUAUUCCUACUCUUUUCUUCUUGCUUCAGAAAUGACUU